This is a long non-coding RNA of Felis catus (domestic cat), 1702 nucleotides long. RefSeq lists it as uncharacterized. The record is from RefSeq and is a predicted model, not a curated record. The transcript is spliced from 3 exons. Lineage: Eukaryota; Metazoa; Chordata; Mammalia; Carnivora; Felidae.
UCAUGACCUGAGCUGAAAUCCAGAGUUGGACGCUUAGCAGACUGAGCCACCCAUGCGCCCCUCUUUUUUCAUUUCCUUUUAAGCUGAGGCUUGAAUGCUACCUCCAGGUUGUCUCUCAAUUUUUCUCCCUUAUCCUGAAGCUCUGCAUCAGUUUUUCCCGCUUCUUGACUUCCUACAGCCCCUUUACCUCUGGGUCGUUGAUAGAAAGCAGCAAUGCUCCAUAUUUCUGGCUAUUUCACUUAUCUUUUGCUCUAGGCAAACUUGCUUUAUAAGAACCUAGAUGUUCUCCAGUGACAAGUCAGUAGGUGAUUUGUUUUUAUAAAAUUCUUCACAGUAGGCUUUGAUGGCAAGACAUACCGAUGAGUUCAUAAUAUAAUCGGAUGGACACACACUGAAUUUGCUCACUACUUCCUCCAAGCAUAGAGAACGUCUAUCUCAGAAAGCUGGCUUUAGCUGUUUCUAUCCAGUUUCACAGCCACUGGGAGGGCCAGGGAGAGGGGGAUGCACAGGGAGCUUGAGCAAGCGAUGAAGGAAGUUGUGGCGGCCAAGACUGGCUUCUGUGGCAUCAGCAGUCACCUGGAAUGUAAACUUGACAACACUCUAGACGUGAACCAAAGAGGGACACGGGCAGACAGAGAAGGACGCAGAAAGGUUACUGCCUGUGCUCCCUUUCUGGAACAAACAAACAACAUUUGAGUUGCUUUGACAUGUUGGAGAAACUCCAGCAAAGCAGAAGAAUUCAAGAGAGAGGAAAACCGAGGGUGUGAGAAGCUGAAACUGACUAAGAACUUCAGGUACAGAAAUUUCGAGUAACAGCUGGGUCACAAGACAACCAACAUUGAAAUCCUCCAAGAGCUGAUUAGAAACUUGAAAAAAAUAAAAAGACGCACUGUUCAAGAAAGCCACUAUCUGAAAUAACACAGGCUGUUAACUCUAAAAUGAACUUGAGACCUGACAAAGCGGAAGGAGCAGCGUUUUUCAUGCGGACAAGGCCAGGCCGCCUUUGGUCAGCAGCACUUGCGCUAACUCCUGACUCUCACUACAAGGAAUUGACUCAUCAGAGGAUGAUUCUGCUCCUGGAGCAAGGAGACUUGAGAACGGGACUGUGAAACAAAGAUUGCAGACCAGUCAUGGUGGAAGUGUAUGGAAGCCACUGACCAAACUGCCACAAUUUUGACGCUAAAAAGGGAAAAGGAAUUGGAGUGCCUGGGUGGCUCAGUCGAUUGAGCAUCUGACUCUUGAUUUCCACUCAGGUGAUCCAAAGUCAGGAGGGGAGUAACCUGUAGCUCCCCGAAUAGCAUGGAGAAGGCAACUUCCGAUGGACAGACAUUUCCAGAGAGAAUGCCAGCCUCUUCCCUUGCCAAUCUCCUCUCUGUCUGGCUCUUACUCACCACUUAAAGACGAGGUUGAGCCAGUCUCCAAUCACAGCUACCCAGAGGAGUUUAAUGCCCACAGCUUCGCGAAGAUGGAACCAGAUGGGGAAGAGGACAUAGAAGGCAUUCCUGAGGUCCGCAAUCACGGACACCAAGAUGAACCAAUCCUGGGAGUCCUGGUAAUUCACCUGGAGGUAGUGCGUUGACUGGAUCCCAAAGUCAUGAAGAACAUUCAUUCCUUUCUCCAUCCUUACUCCGUGGCCCCUCGGGCACCCUUCAGCUGAGCCCUUGCAGUUAUUACAGUCUUGGUGGUGAUUGCUCUGCUAUCA